This 909-nucleotide long non-coding RNA is filed under the name Pectinophora gossypiella (pink bollworm). RNAcentral describes it as "uncharacterized LOC126372899". The record is from RNAcentral. Lineage: Eukaryota; Metazoa; Arthropoda; Insecta; Lepidoptera; Gelechiidae.
GUGGGGACGUCGCGAGAGCGCCGGAGACUCCACUGCCGUAACAAUAAUGUGGGCAAAUUAAAAGCCACGAUUUAUCGGCGACAUCAAGAGCCGAUGUCUCGAUUUAAAUAAAUAGCUUAACCGAGAUGGUGAGUCCUCGCAAUUCUUCGUGCAUAUUUUUGCACCAACUUUGUGAUAACCUCGAGGUCCUUGUUUUCAGCAACAUCACUGAAAUCCCAUCGCCUAAGGUCCAGUGGGUGGGUUUAGGUUUCAUCCGAGCGAUGCCCAACUAUCCCGGAUGAACCUAUGGGGUUUUUUGUUUCCUUUAAGUUUUUAACGUUUUAAAGUUUUAACGUUUUUGCAAGUUUUAAUCUAAGAAGAAGUUUAUGAUUGGAUCAGACUAUUUCAACAAAUUUUGUGAAUGAGGAUUCCUACUGUUUUCUUCUGCAUUUGAGAGCUAUUUCAAGCUUCAUUUCGGCGGAGCUUGCCUUGGUUGUUUGCACGUCGAAGCUUUCCUUUGUGCGGCGCGCAUGUGGAUGUGCCGCGCCUCACCUUUUGUCAACACUCCGGAUAAGGCCCGGUGAAGGACUGCGAGGUUGACCGGUGGACGUGCAGCCCGCCAGCUGCGUAACAGUUGGCCCGCUGCGCCGCCAUCGUCCAGCACGCCCUGGCCUGAGCCGGCCUCAACUCAUCACCUGUACGGUAUUCCGGAACGCCUCAGGUAGGCCUGAUAGUCGGAGGUCCUCGAGUAAGUGAGGUGCCUACAGGUGUACGGACAGUGUUUUUAAACAUAGUGAUAUCCCAUGGUUGUUACGGAGUGACAAUUAACCUGACGGACCAAAGCGCGACCUGUCUCCCUCCAUAGGGUUUUUGACCUACCUAUGGUUAAUGAAAUUUGUAGAUUUAAAAAUAUACAUUGUACAAAUUCAA